RNAcentral lists this transfer RNA (75 nucleotides) under Thermaerobacter nagasakiensis. RNAcentral describes it as "tRNA-Arg". It matches the Rfam family "tRNA". From Rfam's summary of the family: Transfer RNA (tRNA) molecules are approximately 80 nucleotides in length. Their secondary structure includes four short double-helical elements and three loops (D, anti-codon, and T loops). RNAcentral also lists the same sequence under 4 other names. The record is from RNAcentral. Lineage: Bacteria; Bacillati; Bacillota; Clostridia; Eubacteriales; Clostridiales Family XVII. Incertae Sedis.
GCGCCCGUAGCUCAGCGGAAGAGCAACCGCCUUCUAAGCGGUGGGUCGGGGGUUCAAAUCCCUCCGGGCGCGCCA